RNAcentral lists this transfer RNA (64 nucleotides) under Allopsontus sp. 2 JZ-2014. RNAcentral describes it as "tRNA-Thr". It matches the Rfam family "tRNA". From Rfam's summary of the family: Transfer RNA (tRNA) molecules are approximately 80 nucleotides in length. The record is from RNAcentral. Lineage: Eukaryota; Metazoa; Arthropoda; Insecta; Archaeognatha; Machilidae.
GUUUUGGUAGUUUAGUUAAAACUUUGGUCUUGUAAAUCAAAAAUGAUUUUAAAAUCCUAAAACA